Molecule: ribosomal RNA, 253 nt
Filed under: uncultured Eubacteriales bacterium
Lineage: Bacteria; Bacillati; Bacillota; Clostridia; Eubacteriales
Description: uncultured Clostridiales bacterium partial 16S ribosomal RNA
Rfam family: Bacterial small subunit ribosomal RNA
Source: RNAcentral
UACGGAAGGUCCGGGCGUUAUCCGGAUUUACUGGGUGUAAAGGGAGCGUAGACGGCAGGGCAAGUCUGGAGUGAAAGCCCGGGGCCCAACCCCGGGACUGCUUUGGAAACUGCCAUGCUAGAGUGCUGGAGAGGUAAGUGGAAUUCCUAGUGUAGCGGUGAAAUGCGUAGAUAUUAGGAGGAACACCAGUGGCGAAGGCGGCCUGCUGGACGAUGACUGACGUUGAGGCUCGAAAGCGUGGGGAGCAAACAGG